This 425-nucleotide ribosomal RNA is filed under the name uncultured bacterium. RNAcentral's name for it is "bacterial SSU rRNA". It matches the Rfam family "Bacterial small subunit ribosomal RNA", at positions 354 to 796 of the family's 1533-position model. The record is from RNAcentral.
GUAACGAAUAUUCCGCAAUGGGCGCAAGCCUGACGGAGCGACGCCGCGUGCAGGAUGAAGCGGCUUUGCCGUGUAAACUGCUGUCAGGGGCUACUAACACUGAAGAGCCCCAGAGGAAGGGCCGGCUAAUCCUGUGCCAGCAGCCGCGGUAAUACAGGAGGCCCGAGCGUUAAUCGGAAUCACUGGGCUUAAAGGGUGCGUAGGCGGGUCCGUAAGAGCGUCGUGAAAUCCCCCGGCUCAACCGGGGAACUGCGGCGCAGACUGCGGAUCUUGAGGAAGCUAGGGGUCGCUGGAACGCUCGGUGGAGCGGUGAAAUGCGUUGAGAUCGAGCGGAACGCCGAAGGUGAAGACAGGCGACUGGGGCUUUCCUGACGCUGAGGCACGAAAGCGUGGGGAUCAAACAGGAUUAGAAACCCUGGUAGUCC